This is a long non-coding RNA of Astyanax mexicanus (Mexican tetra), 503 nucleotides long. RefSeq lists it as uncharacterized. The record is from RefSeq and is a predicted model, not a curated record. The transcript has 2 exons. Lineage: Eukaryota; Metazoa; Chordata; Actinopteri; Characiformes; Acestrorhamphidae.
CCUAGCUGUGGACCUGGGAAAGCUUGCCAGUAGGCAUAUAGAUUUCCAGUCAGCUGCUGAAACUCAGCAAUCUUCACAGGACAAGGCAACAGAUCUCCUGAAAGCAAAGUCUGUUCAGGAGUUCUUAGGACAAACCAAAAAUGGCUUGGCUCUGUUCAUGAGUCGGUACAACACAGUGACUCAUGGACUGGGGCCAAAGACAUUUGAGGUCUCUGUUCAAAUUCUGGAGGCGUACCUACGUCAAGUCAUACGGCAGCUUACAGAAGAAAGUUAAAGCAAUUGUGCUGUGCAUGCAGCAGUGUUUUGUUUGUUUAGUUUGCAGUUAAAAAAAGUACUAGUCUUUAACAAAAGCUUUUCCACUUGAUAGUUCUUUAUUGUAUUUUGUGUACUUUUUUUCAAAUGUUAACUUUUGUACUACUUUACAAACACAUAAAAAAAAUAAUAAAACAAAACUUUGUCAGUGCUAAUGCUUAACUUUGGAAAUUAAAACCUUUACAAGAGCA